AAGGGGGUUUCGCUCACGUUGAUUACGUCCCUGCCCUUUGUACACACCGCCCGUCGCUACUACCGAUUGAAUGGCUUAGUGAGACUCUCGGAUCGGGUUUUAGGAACCGGAAACGGAUCCUUUUUUCUGAAAAGUUUGUCAAACUUGGUCAUUUAGAGGAAGUAAAAGUCGUAACAAGGUUUCCGUAGGUGAACCUGCGGAAGGAUCAUUAGAAAUUUUUUAUGUAUUCAAAAUUUCAAUCUUUAUAAAAGUUUAUAUUUUUGUUUAUAUAAAAUAAAAAGAAAAACAACUUUCAACAACGGAUCUCUUGGCUCUUGCAUCGAUGAAGAACGCAGCGAAAUGCGAAAAGUAAUGUGAAUUGCAGAAUUCCGUGAAUCAUCAAAUCUUUGAACGCAAAUUGCACUCUUUGGUAUUCCGAAGAGUAUGCUUGCUUGAGGGUUGUUCUAAUAAUAUCGUUUUUUUAUACUAAAAAAAACGGAACUGAGUUUUCCAAAGUUUUUUUAUAACUUUGGUAACUUUAAAUUUAACUUAACGAUAUUAAGUAUCUAUUGGAAAUGUUUUAUCUUACAUCUCGUAAGUUUCAUUAACAAUUAUUUACUAAUCGUUAGAGCGUAUUAUUUACCUAAUUUUUAUAAUUGGUUAUAUAAUACAAUUUUUUUUUUUCAAAUCUCACGUCAAGUAAGAUAACCCGCUGAACUUAAGCAUAUCAAUAAGCGGAGGAAAGAAACUAACAAGGAUUCCCUUAGUAACGGCAAGUGAAGUGGGAAAAGCUCCACAUUUAAAUCACCCGGGUUCUCUUGGUGAAUUGUGAUUUGAAGAAAGUGUUUAGACCUUCGCGUUCAAUUUAAAUCCUCUUGGAUAAGGGAUCAUAGAGGGUGAGAACCCCGUUAUGAGUGACCCUUGAAUGCUAUAAUCACUUUCCAGAGACGAGUGUCUGGGAUUGCGCUCAAAAGGUGGGAAUUUCCCUAAGCUAAAUUGNCAGAACCCAUGCGACAGUACCUGAGGAAAAGAAAAACUUUAAAAAGGUAAUUGACUGAAUGUGAAGGAACAAUGAGCAUCUGUGGAGGAACACUGAAGUGCGGUUACGGGCUUCGGGCCUCUUCUGCGGUACCCAUUCAUACAAAAAAUGGGAGGGGUUUUCGAAAGUUAACCUGAAUGGGACCGGUGGAUGGCGAACCUUGGUUACCUGCUUAGGCCCUUCAAGUCCACUGGGACCAUCAAUGGGGAAAUCAAGGGCACGGUAACCUAACCAGGCCGCCUUUGGGUAUUAAA
RNAcentral lists this unclassified non-coding RNA (1272 nucleotides) under Acaulospora mellea. RNAcentral describes it as "partial contains 18S rRNA, ITS1, 5.8S rRNA, ITS2 and 28S rRNA". The stretch from base 1 to 211 matches the Rfam family "Eukaryotic small subunit ribosomal RNA", at positions 1621 to 1831 of the family's 1831-position model. The record is from RNAcentral. Lineage: Eukaryota; Fungi; Glomeromycota; Glomeromycetes; Diversisporales; Acaulosporaceae.